ACCCCAAUAUCUGCCUCUGGGUUUUUAUUAAUCGUGCUACAUUCUAGAAAGAGAUGAUUUCUAUUUCUAAUCCCUGCUUUAGUCCCUUAUGAGAAAAAACCUAUUUGCCCCAAAUGUUUACUUAAAUUUGUAAUUUUGUUUUGCCAAAGUCAACCUGUGUUAGUACCUUUUUUGCUUUUAAUAACAGCUUUGAGACAUGUCCAGUUGUUCUGAAUAUGAAGACCCACCUUCUCACCCUUGUUAUAGCGCAAACAUAAGGUCUAUUACCAGACAGUGUAACUUUCCUCAAUGCCAUGACAACAUUGCAGCUGUCGUUCUAAUAUUCAGGGCGUCUUGGGUGUUUACUUAUAAUUUUCCUGCUUUAUUCACUAGGGAUUUUCUAAUAGAGCCUUGUUUUAUUCAAAGGCAGAAUGUCAAAACCCAGCAUUCCUUAAACUUCACACAGAAUAAUAAUAUCAUAUGCAUACAGCAGCUUUUGUGGCUAGUUUGCAUGCAGGGUAGAAAAUAAUUCCUCAUAAACAGCAAUGGUGUAUUUGCACUCAUAAACAAGGCUUUGAUAGAAAUGCUUUGAUUGAGACACAAGCAACUGGGCAGCCAGUCUGAUUAACAACUGUUAACUGGAGAAACUAGAACUGGAGUUCACCCGAAAUACAAGAACGGCUCUCAGCUUGGACUCAAGCAACUUGACCUGUACAUUCAGGGAAGUACAAAGAACGAACUACGAUAACAAUAUUUAUCCUAAAGAAACACCAGCAAGCCUUGAUGGAUAAAGAACUUUAACAACAAAAGCUGAGAGAAGCACUGCAGACACAAAAGGAGAAUUAAAGAUACUGAAGCCAACUUGAAUAGCAUGACCCGAAUGUCAGAAGUCACAGAGACAGCUUACUGACUUAUCCUGGGGUCUGAGCAGUGCCGGGCAGAGAUGGAACAGUUCUAAUCCACGUCCUCACUUCUGAAACAAGGCUAAGCACCAAACAAUACUUUUCAUUUGUGAAACCUUUAUGCACUUUCAUAUGUAAUUACAUUUUAUCUUUGGGUCUUCUCAAUCAUAUUGAUCUUCACAGACAUCAACUAAGCAGUAGCUCGGUGGCCACAAUUACUAAGAGGCACAGCAGUGGUUGAACCCAGGCCUUCAAAGUUCAAUGGUUUUGUAAUAAAAACAAUAGCAGCAGCAGUAGUCAAUGACUGCAAUGAAUCUGCCACGUGUGAGGUACUGGAGAGCUGAUGUAACUAUUGUAACUCUGUGAUGUAGACAGUGUCACCAUGGUGACACAGCACAUACCAUGAAGCUGUUUCAUGUACAAAUUAUUACAAAUACUGCAUAAAAUUUAUCUUUGGCUCACAUGUAUAGAGUAUAUACUGAGUAAAAUGUUAAUGAGUUUUAUUUUGAAACUCGGAUUCUGCCUGAAUUUAUUACAUUAUAUACAUGCAAAAAAUGAAGAUAUCUAAAAAUUCCCCAACACCUGAGUCUUUUGGAUGAAGGAUACUUAACCUGUGCUAUUGCCACUUAGAUAAGCAGAAAGCAAGAUCACAGAGAGGUAAAGUAAUAUGCCCACACUAACACUGCCGUCAUGAAGUAAGGUUUAAGUCAGGCACUGGCUCUAUGCUUGCUCUUU
Non-coding RNA from Myodes glareolus (Bank vole), 1616 nucleotides. NCBI's taxonomy places the organism in Eukaryota, Metazoa, Chordata, Mammalia, Rodentia, Cricetidae. The record is from RefSeq and is a predicted model, not a curated record.